UUACUGGUUUCAGCAGCACAUAGACUAAAUACAAGAUUAGCAUUGCCCUGUGCAAGGAUGACAUGCAAAUUCGUGAAUCAUUCUGGUUUUCU
Molecule: small nuclear RNA, 92 nt
Filed under: Nannospalax galili (Upper Galilee mountains blind mole rat)
Lineage: Eukaryota; Metazoa; Chordata; Mammalia; Rodentia; Spalacidae
Source: RNAcentral